This 38-nucleotide ribosomal RNA is filed under the name Pleuridium nitidum. Its description in RNAcentral is "Pseudephemerum nitidum partial 26S ribosomal RNA". The record is from RNAcentral. Lineage: Eukaryota; Viridiplantae; Streptophyta; Bryopsida; Pseudoditrichales; Ditrichaceae. RNAcentral also lists the same sequence under 38 other names.
CAGACCUCUGAUCAGAGAAGACUACCCGCUGAGUUUAA